ACCUCUCACCCGGAAGCGAAUACGCGAGGGGCUGAAGCUGAGCCAAUCAGAAGGCGCCGGGACUGUGCCGCUGCAGCUGGGCCACCGCAGGGCUGCUCCAAGUGAGAGCCGUGAGGGUGGCCAAGUCCAGUUUGGACCUCUGACCCUUGGGCAGCACCUCCCGACAGCCGGCUCGGGACCCAACUCUGCGAGCCAGGUGAAAAUGAGUUCUUCAGUAAGAAGAAAAGGCAAGCCAGGCAAAGGAGGUGGAAAAGGGUCUUCUAGAGGAGGAAGAGGAGGCAGGAGUCACGCCAGUAAAUCUCAUGGGAGUGGUGGUGGUGGCGGUGGCGGUGGUGGUGGUGGAGGUGGCGGCAACAGAAAGGCCUCCAGUAGAAUAUGGGAUGAUGGAGAUGACUUUUGUAUCUUCAGUGAAUCAAGGCGCCCUUCCAGACCUAGCAACAGUAACAUAAGCAAAGGAGAGUCACGCCCAAAAUGGAAACCCAAAGCCAAAGUACCCCUUCAGACUCUACAUAUGACUUCUGAGAAUCAAGAGAAAGUGAAAGCUCUUCUCCGAGACCUGCAAGAACAAGAUGCUGAUGCCGGAUCUGAAAGAGGCAUUUCUGGGGAGGAGGAAGAUGAUGAGCCUGAUUGCUGUAAUGAUGAGCGGUACUGGCCAGCUGGACAGGAACCUUCCCUCGUUCCCGACUUGGAUCCUUUGGAAUAUGCUGGCUUAGCCUCAGUGGAGCCUUAUGUUCCAGAAUUUACAGUCUCCCCAUUUGCAGUGCAAAAACUUUCCAGGUAUGGUUUCAAUACUGAACGCUGUCAAGCGGUCCUGAGGAUGUGUGAUGGAGAUGUGGGAGCAUCACUAGAGCAUCUCCUUACCCAGUGUUUUUCAGAGACAUUUGGAGAGAGGAUGAAGAUCUCUGAGGCAGUCAACCAGAUAAGCUUGGAUGAGUGUAUGGAACAGCGACAGGAAGAGGCAUUUGCUCUCAAGUCCAUCUGUGGAGAAAAAUUUAUAGAAAGAAUUCAGAACAGAGUCUGGACCAUUGGGUUAGAACUGGAGUAUCUGACAAGUAGAUUCCGCAAAUCCAAGCCAAAAGAAAGUACCAAAAAUGUACAAGAGAAUUCACUUGAAAUCUGUAAAUUUUACCUCAAAGGAAAUUGUAAAUUUGGAUCAAAAUGCAGAUUCAAACAUGAAGUGCCCCCAAAUCAAAUUGUUGGAAGAAUAGAAAGAAGUGUAGAUGAUUCUCAUCUUAAUGCUAUUGAAGAUGCAUCUUUUUUAUAUGAACUUGAAAUUCGAUUUUCUAAAGACCACAAAUAUCCCUACCAAGCUCCCCUCGUGGCAUUUUAUUCCACCAAUGAGAACCUACCUCUGGCUUGUCGUUUACAUAUUUCUGAGUUUCUUUAUGACAAGGCCUUGACAUUUGCAGAAACUUCGGAACCUGUCGUAUAUUCUUUGAUAACCCUUUUAGAGGAAGAGUCGGAAAUAGUCAAGUUACUAACGAAUACCCACCACAAGUAUAGUGACCCUCCUGUGAACUUUCUGCCAGUACCCUCUAGGACCAGAAUAAAUAAUCCUGCCUGUCAUAAACCACUGAUUCCAAAUAAUUCUUUUGUUUCUAAUCAAAUUCCAGAAGUUGAAAAAGCAUCAGAAUCUGAGGAGUCAGAUGAGGAUGACGGUCCUGCACCUGUUAUAGUAGAGAAUGAAAGCUAUGUGAACCUUAAGAAAAAGAUUUCCAAAAGAUAUGACUGGCAGGCAAAGUCAGUACAUGCUGAAAAUGGUAAAAUCUGCAAGCAGUUCCGAAUGAAACAGGCUUCCAGACAGUUCCAGUCCAUUCUGCAAGAGAGGCAAUCACUCCCUGCUUGGGAAGAAAGAGAAACCAUUCUUAACUUAUUGCGUAAGCACCAGGUGGUUGUCAUAAGUGGUAUGACUGGAUGUGGGAAAACCACACAAAUUCCACAGUUUAUUCUGGAUGAUUCUCUGAAUGGACCACCUGAGAAGGUAGCCAACAUCAUCUGUACCCAACCCCGACGAAUCUCUGCAAUCUCUGUUGCUGAACGCGUUGCUAAAGAAAGAGCAGAGAGGGUGGGUCUGACCGUGGGAUACCAGAUUCGGUUAGAAAGUGUCAAGUCCUCAGCCACCAGACUGUUAUACUGCACCACGGGAGUGCUGCUGAGAAGGCUAGAAGGAGAUACAGCUCUACAAGGAGUUUCCCAUAUCAUUGUUGAUGAAGUUCAUGAGAGGACAGAAGAAAGUGACUUCUUGCUGCUAGUUUUGAAGGACAUUGUAUCGCAGAGGCCAGGUCUUCAAGUUAUUUUAAUGAGUGCAACUCUAAACGCUGAGCUUUUUUCAGACUAUUUUAAUUCCUGCCCCGUUAUUACUAUACCAGGUCGUACAUUUCCUGUUGAUCAAUUUUUUUUGGAAGAUGCAAUUGCUGUGACAAGGUAUGUAUUACAGGAUGGGAGCCCAUAUAUGCGGUCCAUGAAACAGAUUUCAAAGGAAAAGCUUAAAGCAAGGCGAAACAGAACUGCAUUUGAAGAAGUGGAAGAAGACCUGAGGCUCUCCCUUCACCUCCAGGAUCAGGAUUCUGUCAAAGAUGCAGUGCCAGAUCAACAGUUAGAUUUUAAGCAGCUCCUGGCCCGCUAUAAAGGGGUUAGCAAGUCAGUCAUCAAAACAAUGUCCAUCAUGGAUUUUGAAAAGGUGAAUCUUGAAUUAAUAGAGGCCUUAUUAGAGUGGAUUGUGGAUGGAAAGCACUCCUACCCUCCAGGUGCUAUACUUGUAUUUUUACCAGGACUAGCAGAAAUCAAAAUGCUUUACGAACAGCUGCAGUCUAAUUCUCUUUUCAACAACAGACGUAGUAAUCGAUGUGUUAUUCACCCACUUCAUUCAUCUUUAUCCAGUGAAGAGCAGCAGGCUGUGUUUGUAAAACCUCCUGCAGGAGUAACUAAGAUUAUAAUUUCCACCAACAUUGCUGAGACAUCCAUAACCAUCGAUGAUGUUGUCUAUGUUAUCGAUUCUGGGAAAAUGAAAGAAAAGAGAUAUGAUGCCAGCAAAGGGAUGGAAAGUCUAGAGGACACCUUUGUAUCUCAAGCUAAUGCUCUACAAAGGAAAGGCCGAGCAGGCCGUGUUGCAUCUGGGGUCUGCUUCCAUUUAUUCACUAGCCAUCACUACAAUCACCAGCUUUUAAAACAACAGCUACCAGAAAUACAAAGAGUGCCAUUGGAACAGCUGUGUCUAAGAAUUAAAAUUUUAGAGAUGUUUAGUGCUCAUAAUCUCCAGUCUGUGUUCUCUCGGCUCAUUGAACCUCCACACACCGAUUCUCUUCGUGCCUCAAAAAUACGAUUACGAGACUUAGGAGCAUUAACUCCAGAUGAAAGAUUGACCCCUCUUGGGUAUCAUUUGGCCUCUCUGCCCGUGGAUGUGAGAAUUGGCAAACUAAUGUUGUUUGGGUCUAUCUUCCGCUGUUUGGAUCCUGCUCUCACCAUUGCUGCCAGUUUGGCUUUUAAGUCUCCGUUUGUAUCUCCCUGGGAUAAAAAAGAAGAAGCUAACCAGAAAAAGCUGGAAUUUGCAUUCGCAAACAGUGAUUAUCUGGCCCUUCUACGAGCGUAUAAGGGAUGGCAGCUAAGUACAAAAGAAGGCGUGCGUGCAAGUUAUAAUUACUGCAGACAAAACUUCUUGUCUGGAAGAGUUCUGCAGGAAAAGAGAUGAGCCAGCAAGACCAUAAUGAAGGAGAAAGAGGAAACAUUCUGCUGAGUUCCACUGAGAGCACGAACCACUCUAGGCCUGAGAAAUGGCCAGCCUCAAACGACAAUUCACGGAACUGUUAUCGGAUAUAGGGUUUGCAAGGGAAGGGCUCAGAGCAAGGGAAAUUGAGAAAAGGGCCCAAGGAGGAGAUGGUGUCUUAGAUGCCACAGGAGAAGAGGCAAAUUCAAAUGCUGAGAACCCCAAGCUGAUAUCAGCAAUGCUGUGUGCUGCUUUGUAUCCAAAUGUAGUGCAGGCCCCGAGUGGUUCACUGAGCCAUGAAGACAGAUUCCAGGCACCAGGAAUUGCACCUCCAAUCCCAGAUGCUAUGUUCAGCAAAGGCUCCAUGGUUCUGGCCUACAGUGGUGGCCUGGACACCUCCUGCAUCCUCGUGUGGCUGAAGGAACAAGGCUAUGACAUUAUUGCCUACCUGGCCAACAUUGGCCAGAAGGAAGACUUCAAGGAAGCCAGGAAGAAGGCACUGAACCUUGGGUCCAAAAAGGUGUUCAUUGAGGACGUCAGCAAGGAGUUCGUGGAGGAGUUCAUCUGGCCUGUAUGAGGACUGCUACCUCCUGGGCCCCUCUCUUCCCAGGCCUUACAUCACCCGCAAACAAGUGGAAAUUGCUCAGUGGGAGGGGGCAAAGUAUGUGUCCCACAGUGCCAUGGGAAAGGGGAACGAUCAGGUCUGGUUUGAGCUCGCCUGCUACUCGCUGGCCCCCCAGAUUAAGGUCAUUGCUCCUGGGAGGAUCCCUGAGUUCUACAACCAGUCCAAGGGCCACAGUGAUCUGAUGGAAUAUGCAGAGAAACAUGGGAUUCCCAUCCCAGUCACUCUGAAGCACCCAUGGAACAUGGACGAGAACCUCAUGCACAUCAGCCACGAGGCUGGAAUCUUGGAGAACCCCAAGAACCAAGCACCUUCAGGUCUCUACAUGAAGAUUCAGGACCUGGCCAAAGCCCCCAACACCCCCAACAUUUUCAAGACUGAGUAAAAAAGGGGUCCCUGUGAAGGUGACCAGCAUCAAGGAUGGCACCACCCACCAGACCUCCUUGGUGCUCUUCAUGUACCUGAAUGAAGUCGCAGGCAAGCACAGCGUGGGCCAUAUUGACAUCGUGGAGAACCGCUUCAUUGAAAUGAAGUCCUGAGGUAUCUGCAAGACCCCAGCAGGCACCAUCCUUUACCACCCUCAUUUAGACAUUGAGGGCUUUGCCAUGGAACAGGAAGUGCGCAAAAUCAAACAAGGCCUGGGCUUGAAAUUUGCUGAGUUGGUGUACACCGGUUUCUGGCACAACCCUCAGUGUGACUUUGCCCACCACUGCAUUGCCAAGUCCCAGGACCGAGUGGAAGGGAAAGUGCAGAUAUCCAUCUUCAAGGGCCAGGUGUACAUCCUCUGCCAGGAGCCCCCACUGUCUCUCUACAGUGGAGAGCAGGUGAGCAUGAACGUGCAGGGCAAUGAUGAGCCAGCCAGUCGGUGACACCAGUCUCAUCAACAUCAAUUCCCUCAGGAUGAAGGAAUAUCAUCAUCUCCAGAGCAAGGUCACUGCCAAAUAGACCCCUGUACAAUGGGGAGCUAGGGCCACCUCACUUUGCAGAUUCCCCAAGUACAGGCACUAAUUGUUGUGAUAAUUUGUAAUUGUGACUUGUUCUCCCUGGCUGAGAGUGUAGUGGGGCUGCCGGGCCCCAGCUUUGUUCCCUGGUCCCCCUGAAAUGGUCAUCAAAGGGAAGGGUGAGGGGCAGCUACAGUGAGGAGCUAU
This is an RNA transcript of Pan troglodytes (chimpanzee), 5473 nucleotides long. It is a transcript of the gene named DExH-box helicase 57, with no coding region annotated. NCBI's taxonomy places the organism in Eukaryota, Metazoa, Chordata, Mammalia, Primates, Hominidae. The transcript has 23 exons. The record is from RefSeq and is a predicted model, not a curated record.